This 569-nucleotide small RNA is filed under the name Aspergillus fischeri. Its description in RNAcentral is "eukaryotic LSU rRNA". The stretch from base 176 to 330 matches the Rfam family "5.8S ribosomal RNA". Lineage: Eukaryota; Fungi; Ascomycota; Eurotiomycetes; Eurotiales; Aspergillaceae. The record is from RNAcentral.
AGGGCUCUGGGUCAACCUCCCACCCGUGUCUAUUGUACCUUGUUGCUUCGGCGGGCCCGCCGUUUCGACGGCCGCCGGGGAGGCCUCGCGCCCCCGGGCCCGCGCCCGCCGAAGACCCCAACAUGAACGCUGUUCUGAAAGUAUGCAGUCUGAGUUGAUUAUCAUAAUCAGUUAAAACUUUCAACAACGGAUCUCUUGGUUCCGGCAUCGAUGAAGAACGCAGCGAAAUGCGAUAAGUAAUGUGAAUUGCAGAAUUCAGUGAAUCAUCGAGUCUUUGAACGCACAUUGCGCCCCCUGGUAUUCCCGGGGGGCAUGCCUGUCCGAGCGUCAUUUGGCUUGCCCCUCAAGCCACCGGGCUUUGUUGUGUUUGGGGCCGCCGUCCCCCGGGUUUCUCCCCCCGGGGGACGGGGCCCGAAAAGGGCAGCCGGCGGGCACCGCGUCCCGGGUCCUCGAGCGUAUGGGGCUUCGUCACCCGGCUUCUGUAUCCCGGCGGCGCCACGGACACCACUUUUAUUCCUAAAGUUGAACCUCGAAUCAGGUAGGAUACACCGUUAAAUUUAGCGUAUCAU